AGCUAGAGAACUGGGAAAUCAUUCUAGGCUGUGACGUUACAGCAACGCACCUGUCAGGACUUGGAGCACUGUAGCCUGGUCUUCUUACCACUGGAGAGCAGAAUUCUGGGCUAGGGCCUUCCCUGUUUCCCUGUUUCCACCAUGGGCUCCAGGCUCCUGUGCUGUGUGGCCCUCUGCUUCCUGGGAGCAGGUUCCCUGGACACAGCAGUUCUCCAGACUCCAAAAUACCUCAUCACGCGGGUGGGAAAUCAGAAGUCCCUAAGUUGUGAACAAAAGCUGAACCAUAAUGCUAUGUACUGGUAUAAGCAGGACUCCAAGCAAUUGCUGAAGGUUAUGUUUUCCUACAAUAAUAAGGAGCUCAUUCUAAAUGAGACAGUUCCAAGUCGUUUCUUACCUGAAUCUCUGGACAAAGCUCAUUUGAAACUUCAUAUCAACUCGUUGGAGACGGGUGACUCUGCUGUGUAUCUCUGUGCUAGCAGCCAAGACACAGCCCUGCAAAGUCACUGCCUCCCUGUGCACAAACCUGCUGGCCCAGCCAGGAAGCUGUGGGAACAACAUGUUCACCCAACACACCCUGCUGUGAGACCCCUGACUGGAGUUUCAUCUGUAGUAUAACUCACAGUACACAAUAGAGUUGUUCUGUAGUUGGUAUGCUCAAAAGUCUUCCCAAUUCUACUCAUCAGCUAGAGCAGGGGUUUCUAGUAAAUUUACUGAAGUACUCAGGACUCUGCAAACAAGUAAU
This is a non-coding RNA of Myotis daubentonii (Daubenton's bat), 742 nucleotides long. Lineage: Eukaryota; Metazoa; Chordata; Mammalia; Chiroptera; Vespertilionidae. The record is from the annotation of a RefSeq genome assembly.